UAAUGGUGGCAGAUUCAGUACUUGCUGAUUUUUGGACAGCAGGUUCAGCAAUUGCUGAUGUAAUUGUGGAAUUUUCAGCAGGUGGACAGCAACUGCUGUCUCUAUUUGCAGUAGGUUGAACAGCAGCAAAGUCUGAAUUUUUUACAGUAGUUGCUGUCUCUUGGAUGGCAGAAGCUUCAACAAGUGUUGUUUGGGCAGUAGUUGGUUCAGAUUCAAGUGUAGUGGUGAUUUGUGCAGCAGACUCAACAGCUCGGUCUGUCUCUUCGUCAUCGUCCCAUAUAUCUUGAAGUCUUCCUCUCUUCUUAAUAUGUAUGCGUCCACUGAGUUGACCGCUUGAUCCACUUGCUGUUGGAGAAUUUUCCCAGAAAUUUCCAAUUUCCUCACCAUCUCUUCAAGUUCCAUAUUGGAGUUUUGAGGUGUUGCUUGGGCUUGAUAGUUUUGGUAGUAGUCAGCCCUUGCAUAGCCAUAAUUCGGAUUGUCCCCCCAACAUGGAUUAUAUUGCAGAUCUCUUUGGUAGUCAUGGUAGUGGUCUGUCCUAGCAUAGCCAUAGCUCAGAUUGUCUCCUCAACCUGUAUUGUAUGUGUCAAGGUAGGGAUUAUGUCUUGGUUGUCCAUAGAAUCCUUCAAAUGCAUGUGCUUGUUGAAGUUGUUGAACUUGUCGAGCUUGACUAUAAUUUCUCACAAUAGAGGUUAGUUCAAAAAUUUGAGAAGAGAGAAAAGACAUACUUACCGUAGCCAUGCUUGUAAAUCAGCCCUGGUCAUAAAA
Molecule: long non-coding RNA, 765 nt
Filed under: Manihot esculenta (cassava)
Lineage: Eukaryota; Viridiplantae; Streptophyta; Magnoliopsida; Malpighiales; Euphorbiaceae
Description: long non-coding RNA (MESC_LNC007506)
Source: RNAcentral